AGUACUUUAGAGAAAUGUAGAUAGAGAAAAACAAAACAUAGGGAGUAAAAGUUUACUUAGGUUCAAUUCACAUUCGACUACAUUAAAACUUUAGAUUUGCGCCUUUUCACCAAGACAUUAUAAGAUUUCUCUCUCUAAAUUUCCUCCAUAAAACCCCGUUCCACCCUUCAAACUGUAACCCGCCGCCAGCUAGCUCGCUGGAGUGCGACCUGAGCUUCCCUGGCUCCAUAAGGUCGUCGGCGAGCCGGAUUUAUUAGCGUUCCAUCGAUUAAAAUAAGGGUUUUAUUGCCCACCGGUAGAGAAGAAGAAGAGGGGAGCAAGCUUUGUUCACAAAGUAAGAUUCAAUUCCUUUUUAGUGUCUCUCUCAUCUUGCCGGAUCCAUCUACUACUUGCUAGUGCAUACCAACCAUCUUCCUCACGUACAAAGGAGGUUUUACAAGUCCGGGGUUCUCCUAAUUACCGUUUAUUACCCAAGCUUUAUCCCAAGUGAAAAAAGGAGUGUGAGUGUACAAGUUGGAGGAGACAAUGAAAGGCCAACAAGCACAACUUCAAUUAUAUUUGUAGUUUGUAAUGCUCUAGUUUCAAUGUGUAAUUUAUUUCUGUGUUAAUAUAUGUUGAAAUUAGCCAGUGUCAAAUAAAAUAAAUAAAAUAAAACUUCAGACAUAAUUGAAGGUAAUACAUCCUACAAAUAAAGUUUUUUGACUAAUA
Molecule: long non-coding RNA, 708 nt
Organism: Spinacia oleracea (spinach)
Lineage: Eukaryota; Viridiplantae; Streptophyta; Magnoliopsida; Caryophyllales; Amaranthaceae
Exons: 2
Source: RefSeq, a predicted model, not a curated record